RNAcentral lists this long non-coding RNA (202 nucleotides) under Elaeis guineensis (African oil palm). RNAcentral describes it as "long non-coding RNA (EGUI_LNC053937)". The record is from RNAcentral. Lineage: Eukaryota; Viridiplantae; Streptophyta; Magnoliopsida; Arecales; Arecaceae.
CUCAGUUUGUUUCUCUACCUUUUUAAGAAAUUAUUUGAACAUUUUAAAUAAUCCAAAAUUAUGGCAAACAUGUUUGUAGAUCCAAUACAUCAAUAUGUACCAAACUCAGAACAAUAUUGAUUGAUUCAUCUUUUCAAACAAAAGGUGACUUGGUCAUCUUACUAAAGAGAUAGGAUUGACAGAUUGAUAAUGAUUUACAAUC